RNAcentral lists this small RNA (2829 nucleotides) under Pan troglodytes (chimpanzee). RNAcentral describes it as "retained intron". The record is from RNAcentral. Lineage: Eukaryota; Metazoa; Chordata; Mammalia; Primates; Hominidae.
GCUCGGCCCCGUACCAGGAAGCGCUGGGGGGCAGAGGAGCGGAGUUGAGGCAGAAGCCAGUCAGGAUGGUGGUGCCUUCGCUGAAGCUUCAGGACCUCAUCGAAGAGAUUCGCGGGGCCAAGACUCAGGCCCAGGAGCGGGAGGUGAUCCAAAAGGAGUGUGCCCACAUCCGGGCCUCCUUCCGCGACGGGGACCCAGUGCACAGGCACCGGCAGCUGGCCAAACUGCUCUACGUCCACAUGUUGGGCUACCCCGCCCACUUUGGACAGUGACCUGAGCCAGGGGAUUCAGCCAGUACAAGGCCUGGCCUUGUGCACUUUGAGCACCAUGGGCUCUGCUGAGAUGUGCCGAGACCUGGCCCCAGAGGUGGAGAAACUGCUCCUGCAGCCCAGUCCCUACGUGCGCAAGAAGGCUAUUCUGACUGCAGUGCACAUGAUCCGGAAGGUCCCUGAACUCUCCAGUGUCUUCCUCCCACCCUGUGCCCAACUGCUUCAUGAGCGUCACCAUGGUAAGGCUGUGGGGCCCCCCAUCCUUUGCUUCAGGUCUAUGGACAGAAGAAUUGAAAAUCGGAUGGGAACCCCAGCUCAUAGGAGAAUGGUAGUGCACACACACAGGCACACACGCAAUAGACUCUCUUGCCCCUGGCCCCCACCAUUCACUUCCCCGACCCUGACCCCAGGCAUCCUGCUGGGCACCAUCACGCUGAUCACGGAGCUCUGCGAACGAAGCCCUGCAGCCCUCAGGCACUUCCGAAAGGUGGUACCCCAGCUGGUACACAUCCUCCGGACUCUGGUGACAAUGGGAUACUCCACAGAACACAGCAUAUCUGGAGUCAGCGACCCCUUCCUGCAGGUCCAGAUACUUCGUCUGCUUCGGAUCCUGGGCCGGAACCACGAGGAGAGCAGUGAGACCAUGAAUGACUUGCUGGCCCAGGUGGCCACUAACACGGACACCAGCCGAAAUGCCGGAAAUGCGGUCCUGUUUGAGACAGUACUCACCAUCAUGGAUAUCCGCUCUGCAGCUGGCCUACGGGUUCUAGCUGUCAACAUUCUUGGCCGCUUCCUACUCAACAGUGACAGGAACAUUAGGACAGGACGGGGAGUGGGGGCUGAUGGCCAUGGUAUGAUAGAACCUCCCCCAUCCUGACCAGGUAUGUAGCCCUGACAUCACUGCUUCGACUGGUGCAGUCUGAUCACAGUGCUGUGCAGCGGCAUCGGCCCACUGUGGUGGAAUGUCUACGGGAAACUGAUGCCUCCCUCAGCCGGAGAGCCCUGGAACUAAGCCUGGCUCUGGUAAAUAGCUCCAAUGUGCGAGCCAUGAUGCAAGAGCUGCAGGCCUUUCUGGAGUCCUGCCCUCCUGACCUACGGGCUGACUGUGCCUCAGGCAUCCUGCUGGCUGCAGAGAGGUGAGGUGCCCAGGAGUCGAAGAGGGUAGAAUCUGGGGAGCGUCAGUACCAGGACUGAUGAGCCAUAUAUCCCCUAGGUUUGCUCCAACCAAACGCUGGCACAUAGACACCAUCCUGCAUGUGCUGACAACGGCGGGCACCCAUGUGCGGGAUGAUGCAGUGGCCAACCUGACCCAGCUGAUUGGGGGGGCCCAGGAGCUACAUGCCUACUCUGUGCGCCGCCUCUACAAUGCCCUGGCAGAAGACAUUUCCCAGCAACCACUGGUGCAGGUGGCAGCCUGGUGCAUUGGGGAGUAUGGGGACCUCCUGCUGGCGGGGAACUGCGAGGAGAUUGAGCCCCUUCAGGUGGACGAAGAGGAAGUGCUGGCAUUGCUGGAAAAGGUGCUGCAGUCCCAUAUGUCCCUGCCAGCCACUCGAGGAUAUGCCCUCACAGCCCUCAUGAAGCUCAGCACUCGCCUCUGUGGGGACAACAACCGCAUCCGCCAGGUGGUGUCCAUCUACGGGAGCUGCUUGGACGUGGAGCUGCAGCAGCGGGCUGUGGAGUAUGACACACUCUUCCGGAAAUACGACCACAUGAGGGCUGCCAUCCUGGAAAAAAUGCCUCUUGUGGAGCGAGAUGGCCCUCAGGCUGAUGAGGAAGCAAAGGAAAGCAAAGAAGCAGCCCAGCUUUCAGAAGCAGCCCCAGUGCCCACAGAGCCCCAGGUGAGAAGGCUAGAAACUCUGGGGUAGGAAGAUGGGCUGAGCUUCAUACCCAGCCCUGCCCCUUCUGUCCCUUCUGCCAGGCCUCACAGCUCCUGGAUCUGCUAGAUCUCUUGGAUGGGGCUUCUGGGGAUGUCCAGCAUCCUCCCCCUCUGGACCCCUCCCCAGGAGGUGCCCUGAUACACCUGCUUGACCUUCCCUGUGUACCUCCACCCCCAGCUCCCAUCCCAGAUCUCAAAGUGUUUGAGCGUGAGGGAGUACAGCUGAAUCUGUCUUUCAUUCGACCCCCUGAAAACCCUGCUUUGCUGUUAAUCACCGUCACUGCCACCAACUUCUCAGAGGGUGAUGUCACCCAUUUCAUCUGCCAGGCUGCUGUGCCCAAGAGUCUCCAGCUGCAGCUGCAGGCCCCCAGUGGGAACACAGUUCCAGCUCGGGGUGGCCUUCCUAUCACCCAGCUCUUCAGAAUCCUCAAUCCUAACAAGGCCCCCCUGCGGCUAAAGCUGCGCCUCACCUACGACCACUUUCACCAGUCGGUGCAGGAGAUCUUUGAGGUGAACAACUUGCCUGUGGAAUCGUGGCAGUAACUGUCUCCACUCACAGCCUGAAAUUCUCCUGUGUCCCAAACCCCAGGGGGCCCCAGCAGCUUCGAACCUACACCUGAGGGCUACCAGCAGGUGGCGCUCUGGCUUUGCACUGCAAAAACUGGGGACCAGCCCCCUUCUCCC